AGCCGAUGGAAAUAAGAAAAGGAAGCUUGGAAAGAGAGCAGAACCCAAAUCCAGGUGUGCUUUCGUGAAACUGCUGCCGUUUGUGGUAUACCAGGCUGGAAGUUUUGUGUAGUGUUUGUUGAUUAUGUUAUGCAAAGUAGCCUGAUCGUCCCAGUGUCACUGCCAGCUCUGCCAACUGGAGUUCCUGAGCAUAGUACCCAGGACCUGAAUACAUUGUUUGUACUAACACUGUCACCAACUCAGAUUCUGCAUGCUAAGCUAUCACCCCAGAAGCAUGGAAACUUUGAGCUAAAUAGAAAGCGCCUGCUCCUUGAA
Long non-coding RNA from Mus musculus (house mouse), 315 nucleotides. RefSeq annotates it as predicted gene, 36601. The transcript has 3 exons. Lineage: Eukaryota; Metazoa; Chordata; Mammalia; Rodentia; Muridae. The record is from RefSeq and is a predicted model, not a curated record.